UACGUAGGGGGCUAGCGUUGUCCGGAAUUAUUGGGCGUAAAGAGCGUGUAGGCGGCCGAGUAAGUCCGACGUGAAAUCUGGAGGCUCAACCUCCAGCGGUCGUUGGAAACUACUCGGCUAGAGUCCGGAAGAGGAGAGUGGAAUUCCUGGUGUAGCGGUGAAAUGCGCAGAUAUCAGGAGGAACACCGAUGGCGAAGGCAGUGAUCUGGGCCGGAACUGACGCUGAAGAGCGAAAGCGUGGGGAGCAAACAGG
Molecule: ribosomal RNA, 253 nt
Filed under: uncultured bacterium
Lineage: Bacteria
Description: partial 16S ribosomal RNA
Rfam family: Bacterial small subunit ribosomal RNA
Source: RNAcentral